Gadus macrocephalus (Pacific cod) is the source of this 541-nucleotide long non-coding RNA. RefSeq lists it as uncharacterized. The transcript has 2 exons. The record is from RefSeq and is a predicted model, not a curated record. NCBI's taxonomy places the organism in Eukaryota, Metazoa, Chordata, Actinopteri, Gadiformes, Gadidae.
UUUCCGUAGUCGGGAUGGAUAGCCAUCAGGUGCUGUACCUGUUCAGAGGAAGAUGGGACCCAACUCACUAGUGUUCUUGAUCAAUUGUUCCAUGUGGGUAGGCAUGGCACUAAAAUAUUUUUAAACUACCUCAAUGGACUGAUGGAGAUGCACCCCAUUGAUUGAUCGUUUUAGCAUUGCAAGAAAUGGGACUGCAAGGUGAACCUUGGGGUUGAAAUCUGUCCUGAAACAGGAAGGUGAAGUGGAACUAAAGUAUGUGUGGCCCCACCAUGCGUUCCUGGAUGAAGACCUGGGCUCCCUUCAGGGCUCCGGCCAGGUUCUGACAAAGUCUCUGUCGCUCCUCCUCACGCAGAACCUCGCUGUAGAAGGUCCCCGCCUGCCACACCCAAGCACACAGCACUUAGGUACCUCACGCACACACAGGUAUCGCACAACCACACACGGUGUAUAUCACACACACACACACACACACACACACACACACACACACACACACACACACACACACACACACACACACACACACACACACACACACACA